This 1493-nucleotide ribosomal RNA is filed under the name uncultured Bordetella sp. Its description in RNAcentral is "partial 16S-23S ribosomal RNA intergenic spacer". It matches the Rfam family "Bacterial small subunit ribosomal RNA". The record is from RNAcentral. Lineage: Bacteria; Pseudomonadati; Pseudomonadota; Betaproteobacteria; Burkholderiales; Alcaligenaceae.
GGUUUGAUUAUGGCUCAGAUUGAACGCUGGCGGGAUCGCUUUUACCAUGCAAGUCGAACAGCGGCACGGACUUCAGGUCUGGUGGCGAGUGGCGAACGGGUGGGUAAUGUAUCGGAACGUGCCUAGUAACGGGGAUAACUACGCGAAAGCGUAGCUAAUACACGCUCGCCCUUCGGGGAAAGCGGGGGACCUUCGGGCCUCGCACUAUUAGAGCGGCCGAUAUCAGGAUUGACAGGAUUGGGGUAACGGCUCACCAAGGCGACGAUCCAUUAGCUGUAGUUGAGAGGACGACCAGCCACACUGGGACUGGGGCUGCAGCCCAGACUCCUACGGGAGGCGGCGAUGGGGAAUUUUGGACAAUGAGGAAACCUGAUCCAGCCAUCCCGCGUGUGCGACAGAAGGCCUUCGGGUUGCUAAAGCACUUUUGGCAGGAAAGAAACGGCACGGGAUGUGCCCGUGCAACUGACGAACCACCUGCAGAAUGUAAGCACCGGCUAACUACGUGCCAGCAGCCGCGGUAAUACGUGGGGUGCAAGCGUUGUCGGAAUUACUGGGCUUAAGCGUGCGCGAACGGUUCGGAAAAGAAAAUGCUGAAAUCCCAGAGCUUAACUUUGGAACUGCAUUUUAACUACCGAGCUAGAGUGUGUCAGAGGGAGGUGGAAUUCCGCGUGUAAGCAGUGAAAUCUCGUAGAUAUGCGGAGGAACACCGAUGACAGCCUCUAAGGAUAACACUGACGCUCAUGCACGAAAGCGUGGGGAGCAAACGGGAUUAGAUACUGGUGGUCCACUGCGCCUACGGCAGAUGUCAACUGGCUGUUGUUGGGGCCUUCGGGCCUUGGUAGCGCAGCUAACGCGUGAAGUUGACCGCCUGGGGAGUACGGUCGCAAGACCAAAGCUCAAAGGAAUUGACGGGGACCCGCACAAGCGUGAAGGUGGAUGAUGUCAGAUUAAUUCGAUGCAACGCGAAAAACCUUACCUACCCUUGACAUGUCUGGAAUCCCGAGGAAGAAAUUUGGGAGUGCUCGCAAGAGAACCGGAACACAGGUGCACCAUGGCUGUCGUCAGCUCGUGUCGUGAGAUGUUGGGUUAAGUCCCGCAACGAGCACGCAACCCUUGUCAUUAGUUGCUACGAAAGGGCACUCUAAUGAGACUGCCGGUGACAAACCGGAGGAAGGUGGGGAUGACGUCAAGUCCUCAUGGCCCUUAUGGGUAGGGCUUCACGUCAUACAAUGGUCAGGACAGAGGGUCGCCAACCGCGAACCAAUCGAAGCCGAUCGUAGUCCGGAUCAUGUCUGCAACUCGACUGCCGUGAAGUCGGAAUCGCUAGUAAUCGCGGAUCAGCAUAUAGCGGUGAAUACGUUCCCAGGGUCUUGUACACACCGCCCGUCACACCAUGGGAGUGGGUUUACCAGAAGUAGUUAGCCUAACCGUAAGGAGGGCGAUUACCACGGUAGGAUUCAUGACUGGGGGUGGAGAAGUCGUAACUAGGUAGC